AAGAGUUUGCAAAACUCCCACAAACCAUCGCGAACGUUACCCAGAACGUCGUUGCUUCGGCGGGCUCGCCCGCCGGGGGGACGCUACCAGACUCUUGCAGUUAUUCGGCCCUCCUCUCUGAGUAUGAUUUUUUUAAAUAAGUCA
RNAcentral lists this unclassified non-coding RNA (144 nucleotides) under soil metagenome. RNAcentral's name for it is "partial internal transcribed spacer 1". The record is from RNAcentral.